GUGACGGUAGCUCAGUUGGUUAGAGUGUGGUGCUGAUAACGCCAAGGUUGCAGGUUCGAUCCCCGUUUGGGACCGCUGCA
This is a non-coding RNA of Podarcis lilfordi (Lilford's wall lizard), 80 nucleotides long. The record is from the annotation of a GenBank genome assembly. NCBI's taxonomy places the organism in Eukaryota, Metazoa, Chordata, Lepidosauria, Squamata, Lacertidae.